GGGGAUGUUGGGCUUCGACAGAAUACCAACCAAUAUAUGUGCAGGCGGAGCUUGUUACCUCCUAAAUCUGACAACCAAAUAAUAACUGACAACCAAAGAGUUGCAGUCCCUGCAUUUGCUUUCGCAGCAUAACAGGGCACUCACCUAAUUUAUUGGUGGGCAUCAGCACCUAAUGUCUCAUAGGGAUCUGCUGGUGUUAUAUAUGAGGCGCGCGCAUGUUCGUUUUGAAUCUUUCAAAUAUGUUGCGCUAAUAAAAGAUUCACCAUUGUGUUUUUUACACUAAGCUUGUAGAUCAUAUAUAGGAAAUAUUUUGGACACCGGUUCAACUCCGGUCAUCUCCACAA
RNAcentral lists this transfer-messenger RNA (344 nucleotides) under Minisyncoccia. RNAcentral's name for it is "LiPW-41 sp020059915 Standard tmRNA". It matches the Rfam family "transfer-messenger RNA". From Rfam's summary of the family: Bacterial tmRNA, also known as 10Sa RNA or SsrA, is named for its dual tRNA and mRNA-like properties. The record is from RNAcentral. Lineage: Bacteria; Bacillati; Minisyncoccota.